Molecule: ribosomal RNA, 253 nt
Filed under: uncultured bacterium
Lineage: Bacteria
Description: partial 16S ribosomal RNA
Rfam family: Bacterial small subunit ribosomal RNA
Source: RNAcentral
UACGUAGGGUGCGAGCGUUAAUCGGAAUUACCGGGCGUAAAGCGUGCGCAGGCGGUCUUGUAAGUCAGAUGUGAAAUCCCCGGGCUUAACCUGGGAAUGGCAUUUGGGACUGCAAGGCUGGAGUGUGGCAGAGGAGACUGGAAUUCCUGGUGUAGCAGUGAAAUGCGUAGAUAUCAGGAGGAAUACCGAUGGCGAAGGCAGGUCUCUGGGCUGACACUGACGCUCAUGCACGAAAGCGUGGGGAGCAAACAGG